Long non-coding RNA from Mustela erminea (ermine), 512 nucleotides. RefSeq lists it as uncharacterized. The transcript has 2 exons. NCBI's taxonomy places the organism in Eukaryota, Metazoa, Chordata, Mammalia, Carnivora, Mustelidae. The record is from RefSeq and is a predicted model, not a curated record.
UCGCCAGGCCCUGGAUUGGGUCCUACACAAGGCAGGUCAUCUUAUUCCUGCUUUAUAGAUGAGCAGUCCCAAAAGCAGCCCUGGGGAGUAGGGCUCGGCAGCCUGACUUUAGGCCCAUAUCUUUCCAUUGCCUGAAGACUUAUUGGAGGCCUGUGUGAUCAUUUCACUAGUAAUGUGUAUCUCUCAUCUCUGAGCUUUUCCCUAUGUCUGUCAACUUUGAGUCUCUCAGCCUUGGUCUCACUAUGAGUGGCAGUCUGCCUGUGUGCAGGCGUAUCUGGGACUUUCUCAGAGAUACUGAUACAAGAUCUGUUUUCCUGGGUCUCAACUUUCCUGUUCUGAACCUCACUCCUUGGUUGGUCUGUGUGACUCUGCUUACUUGUGACACAGAGGGAAUGAGUUCAAGACACAGGGAGAAACACUGGGAGAGAUGGUACAGUACAAAACAGUAUGGCAGGUCAAAUGGCUAACAUGUGAAUGUGAUAGGGUCAUUAGAGUGAGGAAGACUGACACCC